AGUGGCGGACGGGUGAGUAACGCGUGAGAAUCUGCCUUGGGGUCGGGGACAACCACUGGAAACGGUGGCUAAUACCGGAUAAGCCGAUUGGUGAAAGAUUUAUUGCCCGAUAGGAGCUCGCGUCUGAUUAGCUAGUUGGUGAGGUAAGAGCUCACCAAGGCAGCGAUCAGUAGCUGGUCUGAGAGGACGAUCAGCCACACUCGGACUGAGACACGGCCCAGACUCCUACGGGAGGCAGCAGUGGGGAAUUUUCCGCAAUGGGCGAAAGCCUGACGGAGCAAGACCGCGUGAGGGAGGAAGGCUCUUGGGUUGUAAACCUCUUUUCUCAGGGAAGAAGCUCUGACGGUACCUGAGGAAUCAGCCUCGGCUAACUCCGUGCCAGCAGCCGCGGUAAUACGGAGGAGGCAAGCGUUAUCCGGAAUUAUUGGGCGUAAAGCGUCCGCAGGUGGCGAUUCAAGUCUGCUGUCAAAGCACGGGGCUUAACUCCGUAAAGGCAGUGGAAACUGAAUAGCUAGAGUGCCGUAGGGGUAGAGGGAAUUCCCGGUGUAGCGGUGAAAUGCGUAGAGAUCGGGAAGAACAUCGGUGGCGAAAGCGCUCUACUGGACGGCAACUGACACUCAGGGACGAAAGCUAGGGGAGCGAAUGGGAUUAGAUACCCC
RNAcentral lists this ribosomal RNA (659 nucleotides) under uncultured bacterium. Its description in RNAcentral is "bacterial SSU rRNA". It matches the Rfam family "Bacterial small subunit ribosomal RNA", at positions 94 to 788 of the family's 1533-position model. The record is from RNAcentral.